AUCAUGCCAGCUCUUGGGAAAGAAAUUCCUGAUCUCUCUGAGGGCCAUAGGAGCAUUUCUUAAUCUGUUGGUUAUAACAAGAAGUUAUGCCAUUUCUAAUAAUUUUACUUGGAUUUAUUAGAAAAGAGGAAAGAAUACAAGAGCCCCUGAUGCAGAUUCAUCACCAAAUUAAGCUUUUUUGCCUAGUAAUAAAUCUAGGAAUGGGUUGUAUACUGUUGGGCCUUUGGUUCAUGGGGUUUCAAUGUAAUAUGCCACUUUUAUGGGCCUAAAGUAUGGGUAAUAAAGUUGCAUCCGAGAUUAGCUAGUUUGUUUUCUAUAAGUUUUUAUUUCAUGUCUUUGUUAUGUUUUAAUUUCAAAUUGAACCAUGAUCCAUAUUGGUCCAAUGUCUAUUCAAUUUAAUUGAAUCUUUCUUU
Macadamia integrifolia is the source of this 413-nucleotide long non-coding RNA. RefSeq lists it as uncharacterized. The transcript is spliced from 2 exons. Lineage: Eukaryota; Viridiplantae; Streptophyta; Magnoliopsida; Proteales; Proteaceae. The record is from RefSeq and is a predicted model, not a curated record.